AAUCUUGCGCAAUGGGCGAAAGCCUGACGCAGCCAUUCCGCGUGACUGAUAAAGGUCUUCGGAUUGUAUAAUUCUUUCACCGGGGAAGAUAAUGACGGUACUCGUAGAAGAAUCCCCGGCUAGCUACGUGCCAGCAGCCGCGGUAAUACGAAGGGGGCUAGCGUUGCUCGGAAUUACUGGGCGUAAAGGGCGCGUAGGCGGACAUUUAAGUCAGGGGUGAAAUCCCAGAGCUCAACUCUGGAACUGCCUUUGAUACUGGGUGUCUUGAGUGUGAGAGAGGUAUGUGGAACUCAGAGUGUAGAGGUGAAAUUCGUAGAUAUUCGGAAGAACACCAGUGGCGAAGGCGACAUACUGGCUCAUUACUGACGCUGUGGCGCGAAAGCGUGGGGAGCAAACA
Molecule: ribosomal RNA, 397 nt
Filed under: uncultured bacterium
Lineage: Bacteria
Description: partial 16S ribosomal RNA
Rfam family: Bacterial small subunit ribosomal RNA
Source: RNAcentral